GGCCCUGUAGUGUAGUGGUUAUCACCUCGGAUUCUGACAUUCGUAGCCACCUUCCGGUAACGGCGGUUCGAGUCCGCCCAGGGCCU
This is a non-coding RNA of Ceratobasidium sp. AG-I, 86 nucleotides long. The record is from the annotation of a GenBank genome assembly. NCBI's taxonomy places the organism in Eukaryota, Fungi, Basidiomycota, Agaricomycetes, Cantharellales, Ceratobasidiaceae.